This 622-nucleotide ribosomal RNA is filed under the name Alcaligenes sp. Its description in RNAcentral is "bacterial SSU rRNA". It matches the Rfam family "Bacterial small subunit ribosomal RNA", at positions 17 to 627 of the family's 1533-position model. The record is from RNAcentral. Lineage: Bacteria; Pseudomonadati; Pseudomonadota; Betaproteobacteria; Burkholderiales; Alcaligenaceae.
UCCUGGCUCAGAUUGAACGCUAGCGGGAUGCCUUACACAUGCAAGUCGAACGGCAGCGGGAAAGUAGCUUGCUACUUUUGCCGGCGAGUGGCGAACGGGUGAGUAAUGUAUCGGAACGUGCCCAGUAGCGGGGGAUAACUACGCGAAAGCGUGGCUAAUACCGCAUACGNNCUACGGGGGAAAGGGGGGGAUCUUAGGACCUCUCACUAUUGGAGCGGCCGAUAUCGGAUUAGCUAGUUGGUGGGGUAAAGGCCUACCAAGGCGACGAUCCGUAGCUGGUUUGAGAGGACGACCAGCCACACUGGGACUGAGACACGGCCCACACUNCUACGGGAGGCAGCAGUGGGGAAUUUUGGACAAUGGGGGAAACCCUGAUCCAGCCAUCCCGCGUGUGCGAUGAAGGCUUCGGGUUGUAAAGCACUUUUGUCAGGGAAGAAAAGGUUUCGGAUAAUACCUGGAACUGAUGACGGUACCUGAAGAAUAAGCACCGGCUAACUACGUGCCAGCAGCCGCGGUAAUACGUAGGGUGCAAGCGUUAAUCGGAAUUACUGGGCGUAAAGCGUGCGCAGGCGGUUCGGAAAGAAAGAUGUGAAAUCCCAGGGCUCAACCUUGGAACUGCAUU